GCCCCGAUGGUGUAGUUCGGUCAAUCAUCACGGCCUCUCGAGUCGUGGACUCGGGUUCAAAUCCCGGUCGGGGCACCA
Molecule: transfer RNA, 78 nt
Filed under: Candidatus Heimdallarchaeota archaeon
Lineage: Archaea; Promethearchaeati; Candidatus Heimdallarchaeota
Description: tRNA-Glu
Rfam family: tRNA
About the family: Transfer RNA (tRNA) molecules are approximately 80 nucleotides in length.
Source: RNAcentral